CUAAAAUAGUAAAUAAUUAUUUAUUGAAACUUAAAUAAUUUGGCGGUAUUUUAGUUUAUUUAGAGGAAUCUGUUUAAUAAUUGAUAAUCCACGAAUAAAUUUACUUAAUUUUUAAUUUUGUAUAUCGUUGUUAAAAAAAUAUUUUUUAAUAAUUUAUAAUAUUUAAAAAUUAAAAUAUAAAUUAAAUCAGAUCAAGAUGCAGAUUAUAAUUAAGAAUAUAAUGGAUUACAAUAAAUUUAUUUAAAUGAAUAUUAAUUUGUAAUAAUUAAUUGAAAUUGGAUUUAAAUGUAA
Molecule: ribosomal RNA, 291 nt
Filed under: Condica sp. GJK-2010
Lineage: Eukaryota; Metazoa; Arthropoda; Insecta; Lepidoptera; Noctuidae
Description: partial 12S ribosomal RNA
Source: RNAcentral